UGGGGAAUAUUGGACAAUGGGCGAAAGCCUGAUCCAGCAAUGCCGCGUGAGUGAUGAAGGCCCUAGGGUUGUAAAGCUCUUUUACCAGGGAUGAUAAUGACAGUACCUGGAGAAUAAGCUCCGGCUAACUCCGUGCCAGCAGCCGCGGUAAUACGGAGGGAGCUAGCGUUGUUCGGAAUUACUGGGCGUAAAGCGUACGUAGGCGGUUAUUCAAGUCAGAGGUGAAAGCCCGGGGCUCAACCCCGGAACGGCCUUUGAAACUAGGUAGCUAGAAUCUUGGAGAGGUCAGUGGAAUUCCGAGUGUAGAGGUGAAAUUCGUAGAUAUUCGGAAGAACACCAGUGGCGAAGGCGACUGACUGGACAAGUAUUGACGCUGAGGUACGAAAGCGUGGGGAGCAAACAGGAUUAGAUACCCAAGUAGUCCCUGAGCGGGCUGGCAAGGCGCAU
RNAcentral lists this ribosomal RNA (447 nucleotides) under uncultured bacterium. Its description in RNAcentral is "bacterial SSU rRNA". It matches the Rfam family "Bacterial small subunit ribosomal RNA", at positions 355 to 825 of the family's 1533-position model. The record is from RNAcentral.